This 119-nucleotide ribosomal RNA is filed under the name Anolis carolinensis (green anole). The record is from RNAcentral. Lineage: Eukaryota; Metazoa; Chordata; Lepidosauria; Squamata; Anolidae.
AAUAGUGGCCUAAAUACCUUGAAGGCAACAGAUCCCUACUGAUCUCAGAAGCUUAACAGGAUCAAUCCUGGCUGGUACUCAUAUAGGGGACUGCCAAGGAAUACCAAGUGCUAUAGGUU